Molecule: long non-coding RNA, 1746 nt
Organism: Cottoperca gobio
Lineage: Eukaryota; Metazoa; Chordata; Actinopteri; Perciformes; Bovichtidae
Exons: 2
Source: RefSeq, a predicted model, not a curated record
CUCAGGGAGAGUUCCUGCAAACAGCAUAACACGGUUACACAACCUGCUGCGUAAGCAUGACUCAGCAUCUUCUUUACAGCAUGGUUCAUCCACAUCUUUAUGGAAUCAGUUGAAUGGACACAUGAAAAUGUGAAACACUUUGGUCCUGAAGACUGAAGUAUAAUAAAAAAAAAAGAAGCUGCAAUUGAAGUCAAGUUUGAAAAUAAUUCAGGACUACAGUAGUUUGGUGCGACAGUCUAAAACGUCACCUGCAGGACGAGGGACGGCACAGAGAAGAUCAUGGCUUCAUUGAAGAUGGGGUUUGUGUCGUCCCGUUUGGUGGAAGUCUUCUUCUUGCUGAUCUUCCUGCCGUCUUGCAGGAGAUACACUUUGACAAAUGGAUCUGAUAACGAGAAUGAGCAAAUACGAUGACAACCGCAAUGAAAGCUUUUUAAAACCCACGCUACACACGUACAAACAUAAACACCGCUGCACACUGUUAGUAGAGCAAGUAAUAAACUCCUCAUUAUUAAAGAGUAAUCAAUUUACAGUCAUGUACACACAAUUAUCUCUGUGGUUGAUAUUGACCUUUAUCUGUACAAUGUUAGUGUGGCAUUUAUGUGUCAUUUAAAGUCUCAUCGGCCUGUCUGGAUAUGAACAAAUGAAUCCUCUGGGAGUUGACUUUCAGAGUCUGUUAUUACUGAGUCGGUAAGUGUUGUGUUCAGUUUCAGGUUAUGAGGGAUUUUUAACAAUUUAUAAAGAGUCAAAGGCGGACAGAUUAUACAUAGUUCAGACAAAGUGUUACCGCUACUCAGGUGGCUCCCAUUCAUACACAUUUACAAAUAAAAUAUAAAAACACAGCACAGCAAAUAAACGAAUGUCCCCGACCUGCAGUGUUCUUGCUGUUGGUCCACACCAGGCUCUUGCACUUGGCCACAACCACUGUGAGGCGCUCUGCUGUCGGCAAAUAGCUGAGAGACAACAGGAUCUCCCCAACUGCAUCCACAGCCUGCGGAGUUAGACAAGAGCAUGGCAGACAUUACAUAUAACAUUACACACAUACACACACACACACACACACACACACACACACACACACACACACAUACAUAUUAUAAUUAAACAUGGUACAAGCCUGCAGUUAUUUCAUUGGCACAUUGCAGGCUGCACAUACAUGGAUACUGUUGCUGAUAAAAAAGAAAAGAAGAGUCAUUUUGUUAAUGAGGUUGAUGAGGACGGAGUCUUAAUAGACUUUAAUGAUCAUCCACAUUUGUUUGUGGUCACUUUAUCUCAUGGUUGGAUUAUUUUCACCAGUGAGAGUUAACAGGUAAAGUAGCCUCAACUCAGCUUCCAUUCGUAUUUAUUGAAUGAAUAUGACAUGUAGUUUCGCUGAACGUCCAGCAGGGUCUCUCACACCACCAUGUUUGCUAACACAAUAUUUAGUUUACCAUCAGAAGCAGGACAUGUCACACUGGAAACGGACUCAAAUCUGCCUUGAACUGUAGAAUCUAUUACAGCUUUAUUUCUUUCUCUAUUGCAUUGCAUCAUAUUAAAUUGUACACUAUGCCACAUUACCGUAUUGUAACUCACCUUAUUGACAUCUUGAAGGUAGAGCCAGGCGUUGAACGGUCUGAUGGUCAGGUCCAGGUCUGACAGCUUGAGAUCUGCCACCCCCGCGCUGAUGUUUCUCUCAUCAGCAUCGAUACCGAAAGCGGCACAACACAGGCUGUACUCCUCCAACAGGGACGAGUCCAUGGGGACGGAGAA